Molecule: ribosomal RNA, 313 nt
Filed under: uncultured bacterium
Lineage: Bacteria
Description: bacterial SSU rRNA
Rfam family: Bacterial small subunit ribosomal RNA
Source: RNAcentral
AAUGAACGCUGGCGGCGUGCUUAACACAUGCAAGUCGAACGAGAAAGUCCGCAAGGAUGAGUACAGUGGCGCACGGGUGAGUAAUACAUAGGAAUCUGCCUCUGAGUGGAGAAUACCCUAGAGAAAUUUAGGUUAAUACUGCAUAAGCCUGGAAACAGGGAAAGGUGGCCUCAAGCUGCCUCUGAGAGAUGAGCCUAUGGCCUAUUAGCUAGUUGGUAGGUAAAGCCUACCAAGGCGAAGAUGGGUAACCGGCCUGAGAGGGUGACCCCCCACACUGGUACUGAGACACGGACCAGACUCCUACGGGUGGCAG